UCCUGUGCUUUUGCCCUCCAGCCUGCCCAGCUGGGAUGGUGGUCCCUGUCCUGCUCAUGUAAAGCAGCUCAAGACCCUGGGACUGCUCACCCUGCUGCUUUUGCUUUGUCUGUGGCCCAAGGAUGUUGGGGGCCAAAGGGAAUAGAAUCAUCUUGGAAGACUUGAAAUAAGAAACGUCACAAAAUUAAACCUCUCCCUCUGAGUAAUAAAAAUGUCACAUUUCUUCCAAUAAGCACAGCUAACAAAGCUGUGCAAUGAGCCCUUCUUGCUCAACUAGACAUGUAUUGAAGAUGACUGCAGAGCAGUGCUCAUUACAACUCUGAUUACUGUUUCUACUUCUCAUUUUGAGUAGUGAAACAAAGGAGUGUGUAUAUAUCCAGCUACUUUAACUGAGUUACUGCCAGAGCUGUAAAUAACUUGCUUCUCUCAGUAGUCUUCCCCAUUUUAAUGAGAAAUUGUUUGUCACAUGAUUUAAAGCAAGCAAUUAAAGGAAAUAAACAGCUUUCCAAACAAA
Tyto alba (common barn owl) is the source of this 514-nucleotide long non-coding RNA. RefSeq lists it as uncharacterized. The record is from RefSeq and is a predicted model, not a curated record. The transcript has 2 exons. NCBI's taxonomy places the organism in Eukaryota, Metazoa, Chordata, Aves, Strigiformes, Tytonidae.